GGGCCCGAACCAGUUUCGACGGAGCGGGGACGAGUUGUUAAGCGAGCCGCGGACCCGGAGGACCGCGUCAAAAACCGGGAACACACGUAGCUGCGGAGACCAACUCUCCUAAGCUCGCUCUCGUUGCCUAAACAGCAAGUCUGAGAGUCAUCGGCCCCUCUUCGAGCCGCGAGGGGGAUCGCCGGUGUCAGCUAGCGGUUCUCGCCCAAUAGCAGCGCCACUCGGCUAGCGGGUCAAACCACAGGAGAGGCUGGCGAGGGAGCGGGUCGGCCGCAGGUGACGCCCCUCGCGAGAUCCCACCAGCGGCUGCGCUCGGAGAAGACGACUCGAUAAGCGCUUUCGGACGCCGGGGCAGUGCCGGCCGGGUCCACUG
This 373-nucleotide transfer-messenger RNA is filed under the name Thermoleophilia bacterium. It matches the Rfam family "transfer-messenger RNA". Rfam says of the family: Bacterial tmRNA, also known as 10Sa RNA or SsrA, is named for its dual tRNA and mRNA-like properties. Its role is to liberate the mRNA from a stalled ribosome. Lineage: Bacteria; Bacillati; Actinomycetota; Thermoleophilia. The record is from RNAcentral. RNAcentral also lists the same sequence under 1 other name.